Molecule: ribosomal RNA, 549 nt
Filed under: Triticum aestivum (bread wheat)
Lineage: Eukaryota; Viridiplantae; Streptophyta; Magnoliopsida; Poales; Poaceae
Description: partial small subunit ribosomal RNA
Source: RNAcentral
AUGUCAUCUGGAACCACCAGGUUGCUGGCCUCCUCGCCGAGCCCCCCUUCAUGCAGCAGGUCCUCCCAGAAAUCAUCAUUUAGCUCUCCACUGGGCCUGCCUCUCAGUUGCUCCGAACGGCUGGAAGCGACACUCUGCUGCACCUCAGCUCCCUUUGUAUCGACGGACGAGCUUUCAAGAUCGGAUAUGACACCGUUCACGAGCGAGUCCACUGGCUCCUGCUGCUCAAACAUUACCUGUGACCCUUGCUCCAGGGUAGAGCCAGUGCCCAUGCUAUCGACAGCUUCAGGUCCCUGGUCGAUGCGGCGCCGUCUUUUAUUUGAGAUGGCAUCUUCGAGCUCCUUCCGCAUCUCACUCUGGGAGAGCAGAUGGUGUAUGAACAUGGGGUUCUGCAUGACUCGCGCCAAGAAUGACAUCAUCUGCUGUUGCUUCUGCUCAGUUCCUUGCAGCCUCUUUUCCAUGGCUUGCAGAUCUGACCUUGUGUUCUGUUGCUCCUGCCUGAGCUUCACCACUUCAGCCAUCAAGAGCUGCCUGUCUCUUUUCAAAUGA